Molecule: ribosomal RNA, 717 nt
Filed under: uncultured Paracoccaceae bacterium
Lineage: Bacteria; Pseudomonadati; Pseudomonadota; Alphaproteobacteria; Rhodobacterales; Paracoccaceae
Description: bacterial SSU rRNA
Rfam family: Bacterial small subunit ribosomal RNA
Source: RNAcentral
AAUUUUUCGGUGGACACCAACUAAACGGGAUAAAGCAUUCCGGCCUGGGGGAGGGACGGUCGCCAAGAGUAUAAACUCAAAAGGGAAUUGUACGGGGGCCCAGCCCAAGCGGUGGGAGCAAGGGGUUUAAUUCGAAGCAACGCGCAGAACCUUACCAACCCUUGACAUGCCUGGACAAUCCGAGAGAUCGGACUUUCCUUCGGGACCAGUGCACAGGUGCUGCAUGGCUGUUGUCAACUCGCGUCGUGAGAUGUUCGGUUAAGUCCGGCAACGAGCGCAACCCACAUCUUUAGUUGCCAGCAGGUUAAGCUGGGCCCUCUAGAGAAACUGCCCGUGAUAAGCGGGAGGAAGGUGUGGAUGACGUCAAGUCCUCAUGGCCCUUACGGGUUGGGGUACACACGUGCUACAAUGGCAGUGACAAUGGGUUAAUCCCAAAAAGCUGUUUCAGUUUGGAUUGGGGUUUGCAACUCGACCCCAAGAAGUUGGAAUCGCUAGUAAUCGCGUAACAGCAUGACGCGGUGAAUACGUUCCCGGGCCUUGUACACACCGCCCGUCACACCAUGGGAGUUGGUUGCACCAGAAGUAGGUAGUUUAACCCUCGGGAGGGCGCUUACCCCGGUGUGAUCAAUGACUGGGGUGAAGUUGUAACAAGGAAGCCGUAAUUGAAUUUUNUNCGGCCGCCNNNACGGCCNGGAGCAUNCGANCGUCGGCCCAAAR